This 2758-nucleotide ribosomal RNA is filed under the name Klebsiella pneumoniae. RNAcentral describes it as "bacterial LSU rRNA". It matches the Rfam family "Bacterial large subunit ribosomal RNA". The record is from RNAcentral. Lineage: Bacteria; Pseudomonadati; Pseudomonadota; Gammaproteobacteria; Enterobacterales; Enterobacteriaceae.
CACUAUCGUUAACUGAAUACAUAGGUUAACGAGGCGAACCGGGGGAACUGAAACAUCUAAGUACCCCGAGGAAAAGAAAUCAACCGAGAUUCCCCCAGUAGCGGCGAGCGAACGGGGAGCAGCCCAGAGUCUGAAUCAGCUUGUGUGUUAGUGGAACGGUCUGGAAAGUCCGACGGUACAGGGUGAUAGUCCCGUACACCAAAAUGCACAGGUUGUGAACUCGAAGAGUAGGGCGGGACACGUGGUAUCCUGUCUGAAUAUGGGGGGACCAUCCUCCAAGGCUAAAUACUCCUGACUGACCGAUAGUGAACCAGUACCGUGAGGGAAAGGCGAAAAGAACCCCGGCGAGGGGAGUGAAAAAGAACCUGAAACCGUGUACGUACAAGCAGUGGGAGCACCUUCGGGUGUGACUGCGUACCUUUUGUAUAAUGGGUCAGCGACUUAUAUUCUGUAGCAAGGUUAACCGUAUAGGGGAGCCGCAGGGAAACCGAGUCUUAACUGGGCGUUAAGUUGCAGGGUAUAGACCCGAAACCCGGUGAUCUAGCCAUGGGCAGGUUGAAGGUUGGGUAACACUAACUGGAGGACCGAACCGACUAAUGUUGAAAAAUUAGCGGAUGACUUGUGGCUGGGGGUGAAAGGCCAAUCAAACCGGGAGAUAGCUGGUUCUCCCCGAAAGCUAUUUAGGUAGCGCCUCGUGAAUUCAUCUUCGGGGGUAGAGCACUGUUUCGGCUAGGGGGUCAUCCCGACUUACCAACCCGAUGCAAACUACGAAUACCGAAGAAUGUUAUCACGGGAGACACACGGCGGGUGCUAACGUCCGUCGUGAAGAGGGAAACAACCCAGACCGCCAGCUAAGGUCCCAAAGUCAUGGUUAAGUGGGAAACGAUGUGGGAAGGCACAGACAGCCAGGAUGUUGGCUUAGAAGCAGCCAUCAUUUAAAGAAAGCGUAAUAGCUCACUGGUCGAGUCGGCCUGCGCGGAAGAUGUAACGGGGCUAAACCAUGCACCGAAGCUGCGGCAGCGACACUAUGUGUUGUUGGGUAGGGGAGCGUUCUGUAAGCCUGCGAAGGUGACCUGUGAGGGUUGCUGGAGGUAUCAGAAGUGCGAAUGCUGACAUAAGUAACGAUAAAGCGGGUGAAAAGCCCGCUCGCCGGAAGACCAAGGGUUCCUGUCCAACGUUAAUCGGGGCAGGGUGAGUCGACCCCUAAGGCGAGGCCGAAAGGCGUAGUCGAUGGGAAACAGGUUAAUAUUCCUGUACUUGGUGUUACUGCGAAGGGGGGACGGAGAAGGCUAUGUUAGCCGGGCGACGGUUGUCCCGGUUUAAGCAUGUAGGCUGGUUGUCCAGGCAAAUCCGGAUAAUCAAGGCUGAGGUGUGAUGACGAGGUACUACGGUGCUGAAGUAACAAAUGCCCUGCUUCCAGGAAAAGCCUCUAAGCAUCAGGUAACAUUAAAUCGUACCCCAAACCGACACAGGUGGUCAGGUAGAGAAUACCAAGGCGCUUGAGAGAACUCGGGUGAAGGAACUAGGCAAAAUGGUGCCGUAACUUCGGGAGAAGGCACGCUGGUGUGUAGGUGAAGUCCCUGCGGAUGGAGCUGAGACCAGUCGAAGAUACCAGCUGGCUGCAACUGUUUAUUAAAAACACAGCACUGUGCAAACACGAAAGUGGACGUAUACGGUGUGACGCCUGCCCGGUGCCGGAAGGUUAAUUGAUGGGGUUAUCCGUAAGGAGAAGCUCUUGAUCGAAGCCCCGGUAAACGGCGGCCGUAACUAUAACGGUCCUAAGGUAGCGAAAUUCCUUGUCGGGUAAGUUCCGACCUGCACGAAUGGCGUAAUGAUGGCCAGGCUGUCUCCACCCGAGACUCAGUGAAAUUGAACUCGCUGUGAAGAUGCAGUGUACCCGCGGCAAGACGGAAAGACCCCGUGAACCUUUACUAUAGCUUGACACUGAACAUUGAGCCUUGAUGUGUAGGAUAGGUGGGAGGCUUUGAAGCGUGGACGCCAGUCUGCGUGGAGCCAACCUUGAAAUACCACCCUUUAAUGUUUGAUGUUCUAACGUUGGCCCCUUACCGGGGUUGCGGACAGUGUCUGGUGGGUAGUUUGACUGGGGCGGUCUCCUCCCAAAGCGUAACGGAGGAGCACGAAGGUUAGCUAAUCCUGGUCGGACAUCAGGAGGUUAGUGCAAUGGCAUAAGCUAGCUUGACUGCGAGCGUGACGGCGCGAGCAGGUGCGAAAGCAGGUCAUAGUGAUCCGGUGGUUCUGAAUGGAAGGGCCAUCGCUCAACGGAUAAAAGGUACUCCGGGGAUAACAGGCUGAUACCGCCCAAGAGUUCAUAUCGACGGCGGUGUUUGGCACCUCGAUGUCGGCUCAUCACAUCCUGGGGCUGAAGUAGGUCCCAAGGGUAUGGCUGUUCGCCAUUUAAAGUGGUACGCGAGCUGGGUUUAGAACGUCGUGAGACAGUUCGGUCCCUAUCUGCCGUGGGCGCUGGAGAAUUGAGGGGGGCUGCUCCUAGUACGAGAGGACCGGAGUGGACGCAUCACUGGUGUUCGGGUUGUCAUGCCAAUGGCACUGCCCGGUAGCUAAAUGCGGAAGAGAUAAGUGCUGAAAGCAUCUAAGCACGAAACUUGCCCCGAGAUGAGUUCUCCCUGAGACUUUAAGUCUCCUGAAGGAACGUUGAAGACGACGACGUUGAUAGGCCGGGUGUGUAAGCGCAGCGAUGCGUUGAGCUAACCGGUACUAAUGAACCGUGAGGCUUAACCUU